This 295-nucleotide small RNA is filed under the name Hespellia stercorisuis DSM 15480. RNAcentral describes it as "5' ureB small RNA". It matches the Rfam family "5' ureB small RNA". Lineage: Bacteria; Bacillati; Bacillota; Clostridia; Lachnospirales; Lachnospiraceae. The record is from Rfam by way of RNAcentral.
CUGUCUCUGCCUGCUGCGGACAAAUGUAGUGCACAUGAGUAUCAAUCGCACCUGCCGUGACAAUCAAUCCCUCUGCCGAUAAUAUUUCAGUUCCGGUACCUAUGACCAUCUUUGGAUCUACACCGUCCUGCGUAUCUGGAUUUCCUGCUUUUCCAAUUCCGGCAAUCAGUCCGUCUUUAAUACCAAUAUCGGCCUUAUAUAUUCCUGUAUAAUCAAUCACAAGUGCAUUGGUCAGACAAAAAUCUAAUGCCCCUGCUUUAUUUGUCAUACCAGACUUCUGUCCCAUUCCAUCUCG